AGUGAACGCUGGCGGUAGGCCUAACACAUGCAAGUCGAACGGCAGCACAGUAAGAGCUUGCUCUUACGGGUGGCGAGUGGCGGACGGGUGAGGAAUACAUCGGAAUCUACUUUUUCGUGGGGGAUAACGUAGGGAAACUUACGCUAAUACCGCAUACGACCUACGGGUGAAAGCAGGGGAUCUUCGGACCUUGCGCGAUGGAUGAGGCGGAUGUCGGAUUAGCUAGUUGGCGGGGUAAAGGCCCACCAAGGCGACGAUCCGUAGCUGGUCUGAGAGGAUGAUCAGCCACACUGGAACUGAGACACGGUCCAGACUCCUACGGGAGGCAGCAGUGGGGAAUAUUGGACAAUGGGCGCAAGCCUGAUCCAGCCAUACCGCGUGGGUGAAGAAGGCCUUCGGGUUGUAAAGCCCUUUUGUUGGGAAAGAAAAGCAGCAGGUUAAUACCCCGCUGUUCUGACGGUACCCAAAGAAUAAGCACCGGCUAACUUCGUG
RNAcentral lists this ribosomal RNA (492 nucleotides) under uncultured bacterium. RNAcentral describes it as "partial 16S ribosomal RNA". It matches the Rfam family "Bacterial small subunit ribosomal RNA", at positions 29 to 507 of the family's 1533-position model. The record is from RNAcentral.